CCUUGAAAAAUGUGUUUGUAAGAAAACAAUACUUUUAAUGAGCUUUCAAAUCACUUGUGAAGCAUUUAAAUCAGAAAAAAAUUAAGUUUGGAGAUGUAUUAAUUGAGAAAAGCUUGGUUGAGAAAAAAAGUUGACUCAUCAUCUCAAGGAGUCAACUAUAGUAUAUUCUAGCACCGGCACACAGCUUUGGUAUAUUUGCGAGUCAACUUAUAGGUGGC
This 218-nucleotide long non-coding RNA is filed under the name Elaeis guineensis (African oil palm). Its description in RNAcentral is "long non-coding RNA (EGUI_LNC043873)". Lineage: Eukaryota; Viridiplantae; Streptophyta; Magnoliopsida; Arecales; Arecaceae. The record is from RNAcentral.